Molecule: non-coding RNA, 905 nt
Organism: Salvia hispanica
Lineage: Eukaryota; Viridiplantae; Streptophyta; Magnoliopsida; Lamiales; Lamiaceae
Source: RefSeq, a predicted model, not a curated record
ACUUUGAUUAUUAUUCCCUUGGCAUCACCUAGACACCAACCUCUCUUCUUCUUCUUCUUCCCCAUCCCUUUUCACUUUUCAUCUAUCAUCUGAUGGCUAUGUCUCGAAUUCUCUCCCAAUCCCAGUCCCAAUCCCUCACCCGCGCUUCUCUCCGUCCCUCAAACGCCCUAAUCACCCACCACCGCCACCGCUCCACUAAACCCGCCCACGCUCAACUCAUCGAGCUCGACCUCGACACCGCCUCUCCAUCGCAGCCCUCCAUCAAAAGCCUCGGGGACGCCAUCCACAGCAUCAUCGUCCGCCGCGCCGCUCCCGAUUGGCUCCCCUUCCUCCCCGGCCACUCCUAUUGGGUCCCCUCCGCCGGCAUGAUUCAAGCCCUUCACAGACUAACUUCAUCCGAGGCGGAGCCCGCCACAUUGCACCAUGAAUUGUUGUCCGAGGACGAGCAGAUGUCCCUUUUAUCCGCCAAGGGUUGGCCUUCCUCCACUUAUUUUAUUGGAGUUCUAUUUGUAUUCAUGAUGUGUGGUGUUUUCCACUCUAGUUACUUCACCGCAUCAUCCAAUCCAGAUAAUAGUACUCCCGGAAACUUCUAGCUCCAAGGAUGAACCUUGACUAUUGCUUGGGCACAUCAGGUCUGCUGCACAAUCCUGGUUGCCGUCGUUGCAGAUAUGGAAAGCAUGGAAAAGGUCAAGGUGGAAAGCAACUUUGAAGGAAGAAGAAGCAGAUUGAAUUUGCAUCAUCAUUUCCUUAGUAGAAUGAAGACGUCCUGCAGUCUUUAAAACAUGCUUGUUUGGUAUCUUGUACCCAAAUAGAGAAUGUAUAUUAUCAAUUUUAGUCAAUAGUUUUAUGUGGUCACAAUUGAUGAAAGUUGAGUUGAUUAAAUAAAGAGCUUGUUUUCCACAGAA